This 406-nucleotide ribosomal RNA is filed under the name uncultured bacterium. Its description in RNAcentral is "partial 16S ribosomal RNA". It matches the Rfam family "Bacterial small subunit ribosomal RNA", at positions 30 to 526 of the family's 1533-position model. The record is from RNAcentral.
AUUGAACGCUGGCGGCAGGCCUAACACAUGCAAGUCGAACGAGUGGCGGACGGGUGAGUAAUGUCUGGGAAACUGCCCGAUGGAGGGGGAUAACUACUGGAAACGGUAGCUAAUACCGCAUACCAUCGGAUGUGCCCAGAUGGGAUUAUCUUGUAGGUGAGGUAACGGCUAACCUAGGCGACGCUCCCUAGCUGGUCUGAGAGGAUGACCAGCCACAAUGGAACUGAGACACGGUCGAGACUCCUACGGGAGGGAGAAGUGGGGAAUAUUGUGCAAGGGGCGCAAGGCGGAUGCAGCCAUGCCGCGUGGAUGAAGAAGGCCGUCGGGUUGUAAAGUACUUGCAGCGGGGAUGCGUUACCCGCAGAAGAAGCACAGGCGAACUCCGUGCCAGCAUCCGCGUUAAUAC